GACGAACGCUGGCGGCGUGCUUAACACAUGCAAGUCGAGGGGGCUCAGCAAUGGGUCACCGGCGAACGGGUGCGUAACACGUGAGCGACCUGCCCAACUGCGGGGGAUAGCCGGCCCAACGGCCGGGUAAUACCGCAUACGACCUUCGAGGGCGAUCUCUUGGAGGUGAAACCGAAUUCAGGCGGUUGGAGGGGCGUCGCGGCCGUAUCAGCUAGUUGGUGCGGUCGAUGGCGCACCAAGGCGACGACGGGUAGCUGGUCUGAGAGGAU
Molecule: ribosomal RNA, 269 nt
Filed under: uncultured bacterium
Lineage: Bacteria
Description: partial 16S ribosomal RNA
Rfam family: Bacterial small subunit ribosomal RNA
Source: RNAcentral